This is a long non-coding RNA of Suricata suricatta (meerkat), 101 nucleotides long. RefSeq lists it as uncharacterized. The record is from RefSeq and is a predicted model, not a curated record. The transcript has 3 exons. Lineage: Eukaryota; Metazoa; Chordata; Mammalia; Carnivora; Herpestidae.
AAAACAGAUAAAUUUUAAUGGGCAUAUCACUAAGGACCAGAGACUCCAUGUCACAGAAAGGCCACUUAUCCAAGAAUUGGGAGACCCAGGUGUCCAAGGGA